This 427-nucleotide ribosomal RNA is filed under the name uncultured Burkholderiales bacterium. RNAcentral describes it as "partial 16S ribosomal RNA". It matches the Rfam family "Bacterial small subunit ribosomal RNA", at positions 355 to 774 of the family's 1533-position model. The record is from RNAcentral. Lineage: Bacteria; Pseudomonadati; Pseudomonadota; Betaproteobacteria; Burkholderiales.
UGGGGAAUUUUGGACAAUGGGGGCAACCCUGAUCCAGCCAUGCCGCGUGCGGGAAGAAGGCCUUCGGGUUGUAAACCGCUUUUGUUCGGGAAGAAAUCGUCCUCGCUAAUACCGGGGGCGGAUGACGGUACCGGAAGAAUAAGCACCGGCUAACUACGUGCCAGCAGCCGCGGUAAUACGUAGGGUGCAAGCGUUAAUCGGAAUUACUGGGCGUAAAGCGUGCGCAGGCGGUUUCGCAAGUCAGAUGUGAAAGCCCCGGGCUUAACCUGGGAACUGCAUUUGAAACUACGAGGCUAGAGUGUGUCAGAGGGGGGUAGAAUUCCACGUGUAGCAGUGAAAUGCGUAGAGAUGUGGAGGAAUACCGAUGGCGAAGGCAGCCCCCUGGGAUAACACUGACGCUCAUGCACGAAAGCGUGGGGAGCAAACA